Molecule: ribosomal RNA, 230 nt
Filed under: uncultured bacterium
Lineage: Bacteria
Description: partial 16S ribosomal RNA
Rfam family: Bacterial small subunit ribosomal RNA
Source: RNAcentral
GACGCACGUAGGCGGCUUUGUAAGUAAGAGGUGAAAGACCCACGAGCUCAACUCUGGAAUUGCCUUUUAGACUGCAUCGCUUGAAUCAUGGAGAGGUCAGUGGAAUUCCGAGUGUAGAGGUGAAAUUCGUAGAUAUUCGGAAGAACACCAGUGGCGAAGGCGGCUGACUGGACAUGUAUUGACGCUGAGGUGCGAAAGCGUGGGGAGCAAACAGGAUUAGAUACCCCAGU